Molecule: ribosomal RNA, 253 nt
Filed under: uncultured bacterium
Lineage: Bacteria
Description: partial 16S ribosomal RNA
Rfam family: Bacterial small subunit ribosomal RNA
Source: RNAcentral
UACGGAGGGUGCAAGCGUUGCUCGGAAUUAUUGGGCGUAAAGGGUAGGUAGGUGGUCUCAUUUGUCUGGGGUGAAAGCCUUGAGCUUAACUCAAGAAGUGCCUCGGAAACGGUGAGACUAGAGUCCUGGAGAGGGUCGUGGAAUUCCCGGUGUAGCGGUGAAAUGCGUAGAGAUGGGGGAGAACACUCGUGGCGAAGGCGGCCAGCUAGACCAGUUCUGACACUGAGGCGCGACAGCGUGGGGAGCAAACAGG